UGGGAGAUCGUCUAAUGGUAGGACACCGGCCUUUGAAGCCGAGAAUCCAGGUUCGAGUCCUGGUCUCCCAA
RNAcentral lists this transfer RNA (71 nucleotides) under Candidatus Dojkabacteria bacterium. RNAcentral's name for it is "tRNA-Gln". It matches the Rfam family "tRNA". Rfam says of the family: Transfer RNA (tRNA) molecules are approximately 80 nucleotides in length. The record is from RNAcentral.